Molecule: RNA transcript, 915 nt
Organism: Corapipo altera (White-ruffed manakin)
Lineage: Eukaryota; Metazoa; Chordata; Aves; Passeriformes; Pipridae
Gene: LYRM9
Gene name: LYR motif containing 9
Exons: 8
Source: RefSeq, a predicted model, not a curated record
AGCGCCGGGGUGGGGCCCUCCUUCGCCUCCUGGGGCUCGCCCGCCGGCGGCUCCCUCCCUGCCCGCUCUCCCCCCGCCCGAUGCGCGCUGACCCCGCUCCCUGGGGCCUGGGGGCGGCCGGCGGGGGGUGUGGGGGCUGCUGAGGGGGCUUGUUCCAGGGCUCAGGGUUUUUUUCUCGAGUCUCUCAGAGCUGCAGAGCGGGGCUGCGGCGGGGCCCGAGGCUGUGGCACGGCUGUGGCACCGGGUCUCCCCAAGGCAAAUCCCCCGCUCACGGCGGGUUCCAGCCGUUCCCAGCAGUGUCUUCCCGGCCCCCGCAGCGUGCCCAGGACACGCUCAGGGGGCCCCGUGCGAGGUCUCUCGCUUACUUUUGGACUUGGACAGACCUAAUCUGUGAAGAUAAUUAAAGUUCCUUUGCUCUGGAUGCUGCUGAAGUACCUGGGGCUGUUCUUCCCUCCACCUUGUCACGGGCCUGCCCGUUCCCUCAGCUUGGCUCCCCUUCCAGCAGUAACUCAGCUCACUAAACCAAGGAGAUUGUGCCGGGGCGAUGCCGAGCGCGGAGCGGGUGCGGAGCGCGGUGCAGCUGUACCGGUACCUGCUGCGCUGCUGCCGCCGCCUGCCCGAGGGGAGCGUCCGCCAGCACUACAGACACGCCAUCCGCCAGAGUUUCAAAGUUCAUGCUGAUGAAGAUGACCCUGAGCGAAUCCAGCAGAUCAUUAAAAGAGCCAUUGAAGAUGCUGACUGGGUGAUGAAUAAAUAUGAAAAACAGAAGAAGAAGAAGGAUGAAGACAAGAAGGACACUGUUCAGGAGUGAAAGCACCAAGGAGCUGGAAGAUGCAACUGGGACAUGUCUGCAGCUCCAAAUGUCCAAGGUGCCAGCUGAGAACAUCAGACCAAAGGUGCUUAACUUGGGAGACC